GACGAACGCUGGCGGCGUGCCUAACACAUGCAAGUCGAGCGAGGAAUGACUGGUAGCUUGCUACCGGUUAUUUCUAGCGGCGGACGGGUGAGUAACGCGUGAGCAACCUGCCUUUAUCAGGGGGAUAACGCAUCGAAAGAUGUGCUAAUACCGCGUAAGACCACAGCCUCACAUGGGGCAGGGGUCAAAGGAGGAAUCCGGAUAAAGAUGGGCUCGCGUCCGAUUGGCUAGUUGGUGAGAUAACAGCCCACCAAGGCGACGAUCGGUAGCCGGCCUGAAGGGGUGAUCGGCAACAUUGGAACUGAGAUACGGUCCAGACUCCUACGGGAGGCAGCAGUGGGGAAUAUUGGGCAAUGGGCGAAAGCCUGACCCAGCAACGCCGCGUGAGGGAAGAAGGGUUUCGGCUCGUAAACCUCUGUCCUAUGGGACGAAGGAAGUGACGGUACCAUAGGAGGAAGCCCCGGCUAACUACGUGCCAGCAGCCGCCGUAA
RNAcentral lists this ribosomal RNA (491 nucleotides) under uncultured bacterium. Its description in RNAcentral is "partial 16S ribosomal RNA". It matches the Rfam family "Bacterial small subunit ribosomal RNA", at positions 28 to 523 of the family's 1533-position model. The record is from RNAcentral.